Molecule: long non-coding RNA, 141 nt
Organism: Thalassophryne amazonica
Lineage: Eukaryota; Metazoa; Chordata; Actinopteri; Batrachoidiformes; Batrachoididae
Exons: 3
Source: RefSeq, a predicted model, not a curated record
AACCAGGCGCACUCACUGCUUGAGCAAAAAUGGUGUAAGCAGUUCUUCGUUGCCAGAUUAACAGCAGCAAGCAUUCUCAUUGCACAGUGCAUCAUGGAAAACAUCUACAGUGCAUAUCAGUGGAUCACUAAAAAGUUAAUA